This 456-nucleotide ribosomal RNA is filed under the name uncultured bacterium. RNAcentral describes it as "bacterial SSU rRNA". It matches the Rfam family "Bacterial small subunit ribosomal RNA", at positions 340 to 786 of the family's 1533-position model. The record is from RNAcentral.
UACGGGAGGCAGCAGUGGGGAAUAUUGCACAAUGGGCGAAAGCCUGAUGCAGCUAUGCCGCGUGUAUGAAGAAGGCCUUAGGGUUGUAAAGUACUUUCAUCGGGGAGGAAAAAACAAAACUAAUAAUUUUAUUUCUUGACGUUACCCGAAAAAGAAGCACCGGCUAACUCCGUGCCAGCAGCCGCGGUAAUACGGAGGGUGCUAGCGUUAAUCAGAAUUACUGGGCGUAAAGAGCACGUAGGUGGUUUUUUAAGUCAGAUGUGAAAUCCCUGGGCUUAACCUAGGAACUGCAUUUUGAAACUGAAAUACUAGAGUAUCGUAGAGGGAGGUAGAAUUCUAGGUGUAGCGGUGAAAUGCGUAGAUAUCUGGAGGAAUACCUGUGGCGAAAGCGGCCUCCUAAACGAAUACUGACACUGAGGUGCGAAAAGCGUGGGGAGCAAACAGGGAUUAGAUACC